This 563-nucleotide ribosomal RNA is filed under the name uncultured bacterium. RNAcentral's name for it is "bacterial SSU rRNA". It matches the Rfam family "Bacterial small subunit ribosomal RNA", at positions 338 to 916 of the family's 1533-position model. The record is from RNAcentral.
CCUACGGGAGGCAGCAGUGGGGAAUCUUGCGCAAUGGGCGAAAGCCUGACGCAGCAACGCCGCGUGCGGGAAGAAGGCUUUCGGGCUGUAAACCGCUUUCAGCAGGAACGAAAAUGACGGUACCUGCAGAAGAAGGAGCGGCCAACUAUGUGCCAGCAGCCGCGGUGAUACAUAGGCUUCAAGCGUUGUCCGGAUUUAUUGGGCGUAAAGAGUUCGUAGGCGGUCGAGUAAGUCGGGUGUGAAAAUUCUGGGCUCAACCCAGAGACGCCACCCGAUACUGCUUGACUUGAGUUCGAUAGGGGAGUGGGGAAUUCCUAGUGUAGCGGUGAAAUGCGCAGAUAUUAGGAGGAACACCGGUGGCGAAGGCGCCACUCUGGAUCGAUACUGACGCUGAGGAACGAAAGCAUGGGUAGCAAACAGGAUUAGAUACCCUGGUAGUCCAUGCCGUAAACGGUGGGCACUAGGUGUGGGUUUCUAUUAACGAAAUCCGCGCCGUCGCUAACGCAUUAAGUGCCCCGCCUGGGGAGUACGGUCGCAAGACUAAAACNCAAAGGAAUUGACGG